GUCCACGCCCUAAACGAUGAAUACUCGAUGUUGGCGAUACACAGUCAGCGUCUAAGCGAAAGCAUUAAGUAUUCCACCUGGGGAGUACGGUCGCAAGACUGAAACUCAAAGGAAUUGACGGGGGCCCGCACAAGCGGAGGAGCAUGUGGUUUAAUUCGAUGAUACGCGAGGAACCUUACCUGGGCUUGAAAGUUAGUGAAUUCCGCAGAAACGCGGGAGGCCGAAAGGACACGAAACUAGGUGCUGCAUGGCUGUCGU
Molecule: ribosomal RNA, 258 nt
Filed under: uncultured bacterium
Lineage: Bacteria
Description: partial 16S ribosomal RNA
Rfam family: Bacterial small subunit ribosomal RNA
Source: RNAcentral